UUGUCGUAGGUGCGGCACUCGUCGGUCUCGGGGUUGUCCUUGCAGUAGUUCUCCAGGGGGUCGGAGUCAGUCUUGAGCUUGUCCCUGGCGUGGCUCGCCGCGGCGCUGAGCUCCUCCACCUCGUCCCACGCCGCCGCGCACUCCCCGGCCACCGCGUCCCCCGCGCACGCCUCCUCCGCCUUCUUGAUGCUCUCCGAGACCUUCUCGGAGAUGUCGGGCGGCGUCGACGGCGCGCUCGCCACGAGCACCGUGCUGCGGCGGCGGCGAACACCGCGGUCGAGCAAAGGGAGGAGCCUUGCGUGGGUCUGUCGCGGCCUAAGCGGCUCCGCCUUCA
This 334-nucleotide long non-coding RNA is filed under the name Musa acuminata (dwarf banana). RNAcentral describes it as "long non-coding RNA (MACU_LNC006413)". The record is from RNAcentral. Lineage: Eukaryota; Viridiplantae; Streptophyta; Magnoliopsida; Zingiberales; Musaceae.